RNAcentral lists this long non-coding RNA (339 nucleotides) under Sorghum bicolor (sorghum). Its description in RNAcentral is "long non-coding RNA (SBIC_LNC012596)". The record is from RNAcentral. Lineage: Eukaryota; Viridiplantae; Streptophyta; Magnoliopsida; Poales; Poaceae.
CUGGUCUUGAGUUGGUAAUUAGUAGUGAUAAUGUCUACAUGCCAUCAAUAAAAAAACGAGUAUUGUGCUACUGCUGACCUUAGAGACCUAGCUGUAGUUCAGUUUCAGCUGCAAUUAUAUUUGAAAACAGUUAGCAAAAGUGAAGAGAGAAAACAGUAAAGAAUAGAGAAGAUAACAUGAAACAGAAAAGAAAAUAAAAGGAGAGAGGAAAAGAAAAUAAAGAAAACCCUCCCCUGCCUGAGUUGGCCGAGAGGCCCAGUUCCUUCCUCCUCUUUUCUUCUGGCGCAGUAACCAGCAGCAGCUGUGGCAAGUGGCCCAGCAAAUCACCAGAAGCCGGCC